RNAcentral lists this ribosomal RNA (253 nucleotides) under uncultured bacterium. RNAcentral's name for it is "partial 16S ribosomal RNA". It matches the Rfam family "Bacterial small subunit ribosomal RNA", at positions 524 to 776 of the family's 1533-position model. The record is from RNAcentral.
UACGUAGGAGACGAGCGUUGUCCGGAUUUACUGGGCGUAAAGGAUGCGUAGGCGGAUGUUUAAGUGAGAUGUGAAAUACCCGAGCUCAACUUGGGUGCUGCAUUUCAAACUGGAUAUCUAGAGUGCAGGAGAGGAAAGCGGAAUUCCUAGUGUAGCGGUGAAAUGCGUAGAGAUUAGGAAGAACACCAGUGGCGAAGGCGGCUUUCUGGACUGUAACUGACGCUGAGGCAUGAAAGCGUGGGGAGCAAACAGG